This 253-nucleotide ribosomal RNA is filed under the name uncultured bacterium. RNAcentral's name for it is "partial 16S ribosomal RNA". It matches the Rfam family "Bacterial small subunit ribosomal RNA", at positions 524 to 776 of the family's 1533-position model. The record is from RNAcentral.
UACAGAGGCCUCGAGCGUUAGGCGGAAUCACUGGGCUUAAAGCGUGUGUAGGCGGACUUCUAAGUACCUUGUGAAAUCCCACGGCUCACCCGUGGAACUGCUUGGUAUACUGGUCGUCUUGAGCCUUCUAGGGGCGAGUGGAACAAAUGGUGGAGCGGUGAAAUGCGUAGAGAUCCGAAAGAACACCGGUGGCGAAGGCGGCCUGCUGGGCAGUUGCUGACGCUGAGGCGCGACAGCGUGGGGAGCAAACAGG